AGGCUGAGCAAGGACGACAUUGAGAAGAUGGUCCAGGACGCAGAGAAGUACAAGUCUGAGGACGAGGAGCACAAGAAGAAGGUUGACGCCAAGAACUCCCUGGAGAACUACGCCUACAACAUGAGGAACACCAUCCAGGACGAGAAGAUCGCCUCCAAGCUGCCCGCUGACGACAAGAAGAAGAUCGAGGACGCUGUCGACGCUGCGAUCCAGUGGCUUGACGCCAACCAGCUUGGUGAGGUUGACGAGUUCGAGGACAAGAU
This 263-nucleotide long non-coding RNA is filed under the name Triticum aestivum (bread wheat). RNAcentral describes it as "long non-coding RNA (TAES_LNC009376)". Lineage: Eukaryota; Viridiplantae; Streptophyta; Magnoliopsida; Poales; Poaceae. The record is from RNAcentral.